This 215-nucleotide long non-coding RNA is filed under the name Elaeis guineensis (African oil palm). Its description in RNAcentral is "long non-coding RNA (EGUI_LNC036173)". The record is from RNAcentral. Lineage: Eukaryota; Viridiplantae; Streptophyta; Magnoliopsida; Arecales; Arecaceae.
GAUGAGUUUAGUGGCAAUCUCUAGAUUUCUUCCCUUGGAAGUAUCAUCCUGUGACUCCUCAAGCUCUCUCCCUAAUAAAGGCAGCGUAAAUUACGAAAUGAUACAUCAUUAAUCUCCAGGAGUUUUUUCCAAAAGUAGUAAUAUAGGUGCGUCCAAGAGAGAACAAGAUCGACGAUUCAACUAGCAAGGCGACUACUCCCUUUGCUUAAAGCUCA